GGCUCAGGAUGAACGCUGGCGGCGUGCCUAACACAUGCAAGUCGAGCGAUUUACUUCGGUAAAGAGCGGCGGACGGGUGAGUAACGCGUGGGUAACCCUGCCUCAUACACAUGGAUAACAUACCGAAAGGUAUGCUAAUACAGGAUAAUAUAAGAGAUUCACAUGGAUUUCUUAUCAAAGCUCCGGCGGUAUGAGAUGGACCCGCGUCUGAUUAGCUAGUUGGUAAGGUAAUGGCUUACCAAGGCGACGAUCAGUAGCCGACCUGAGAGGGUGAUCGGCCACAUUGGAACUGAGACACGGUCCAAACUCCUACGGGAGGCAGCAGUGGGGAAUAUUGCACAAUGGGCGAAAGCCUGAUGCCAGCAACGCCGCGUGAGUGAUGAAGGCCUUCGGGUCGUAAAACUCUGUCCUCAAGGAAGAUAAUGACGGUACUUGAGGAGGAAGCCCCGGCUAACUACGUGCCAGCCGCUGC
Molecule: ribosomal RNA, 472 nt
Filed under: uncultured bacterium
Lineage: Bacteria
Description: bacterial SSU rRNA
Rfam family: Bacterial small subunit ribosomal RNA
Source: RNAcentral